CGACGCCGUGCCACAGGGUUGCAGCUGCAUCAUAAACGCUGUUGUUGCAAUUCGACAACGAUCUUUACUUCCGCAACAAUCUAAGUGUAUCCGCGUUGUACAAUUUCAAUUAACUCUUUGUCCAAUUUAAUUAUUCGAAGCCUUUCGAUCGGAACGAUGUACAGAAUUAUUAGAAUAUAUGGCGACCUUAGGUCCGUCUCGCUUGGCCGGUUUGCAGCUGCCUUUCUAUACAACCCCGUGACACCGUGUACUAGGGUGCCCCAUACACGAACCGGCGCAGCACGCCGAUUCACGCACUAAGAGCCUGAAAUUGCAGCUACGCUCUCGAGACAG
RNAcentral lists this unclassified non-coding RNA (333 nucleotides) under Bombus terrestris (buff-tailed bumblebee). RNAcentral describes it as "misc RNA ENSBTSG00005030046.1". Lineage: Eukaryota; Metazoa; Arthropoda; Insecta; Hymenoptera; Apidae. The record is from RNAcentral.